RNAcentral lists this ribosomal RNA (492 nucleotides) under uncultured bacterium. RNAcentral describes it as "partial 16S ribosomal RNA". It matches the Rfam family "Bacterial small subunit ribosomal RNA", at positions 29 to 507 of the family's 1533-position model. The record is from RNAcentral.
AUUGAACGCUGGCGGCAUGCUUUACACAUGCAAGUCGAACAGUAACAGGCCUUCGGGUGCUGACGAGUGGCGAACGGGUGAGUAAUGCAUCGGAACGUACCCAGAGGUGGGGGAUAACGCAGCGAAAGCUGUGCUAAUACCGCAUGUGAUCUGAGGAUGAAAGCGGGGGACCGCGCAGCAAUGUUUGGCCUCGCGCCUUUGGAGCGGCCGAUGUCGGAUUAGCUAGUUGGUGGGGUAAAGGCCUACCAAGGCGACGAUCCGUAGCUGGUCUGAGAGGACGAACAGCCACACUGGGACUGAGACACGGCCCAGACUCCUACGGGAGGCAGCAGUGGGGAAUGUUGGACAAUGGGCGCAAGCCUGAUCCAGCAAUGCCGCGUGCGGGAAGAAGGCCUUCGGGUUGUAAACCGCUUUUGGCAGGAACGAAACGGUGUCCGCUAAUACCGGGCGCUAAUGACGGUACCUGCAGAAUAAGCACCGGCUAACUACGUG